Long non-coding RNA from Chenopodium quinoa (quinoa), 701 nucleotides. RefSeq lists it as uncharacterized. The record is from RefSeq and is a predicted model, not a curated record. The transcript has 2 exons. Lineage: Eukaryota; Viridiplantae; Streptophyta; Magnoliopsida; Caryophyllales; Amaranthaceae.
AUCUGUUGAAUGACCUGCGUUCUAACUCUCACUCUCUCCUCUUCUUACUUUCUCUCUGUACGUUCUACUCUCGAUCUCUCUGAAGGCGCGGUGAAGGCGAUUUUAGCGUUCGACUUCGCUCUUCGAUUUUGCUCUUCGAUUUCAUUGUUUUUUCUCCUUUGAUUUCGUAAAUUCUUUGUUGUUCUUCUGAGAUUAUCCUUUUUUUGCUGUGAUUUGAACACUUUCAAGAGGGUGGCAGGUAUCUGUAACACCCCUUGAUAAUCAUAACCAAACACGUCGGCUGAUAAUGGAAGCAACGUAACAAUGUGUUGCUGGUUGUUGUUGUUGAGUGGGUUAGGCAGUUGAAUUGGGCAUAUAUGUGGUGGGUUGCAAGGUACUUGAGGCUGGCAGCAAGUGGGGGUGAUGAGGGGUGUGAUGAUGUGUUGCUAUAUCUUUCUGGAUGUAUUUAGUUCUACAUCUCAUAUGCCCUAUUUAAUUUUUCUUGAGCCAAGUUUUGGUGCCUCCAACUCCUCUGUUGUCCUACCAUGGCUAGCUGCUGAAAAAAUCCAAGUAUAUAUAUAUGUUUUUUUUGUUUACUUCUGCGAUAAUUUUAUUUACUUUCCUUUACUUCGAAUGUUUAAUAUAUACUAGCCUACUUUGAUAGAUCAGUUUAUUUACUUUUAAGAUAUUUUGAGUUACCUUUAAGUAAUUUUUCUUUACUA